UAAGGAAUAUUGGUCAAUGGGCGCAAGCCUGAACCAGCCAUGCCGCGUGCAGGAAGACGGUCCUAUGGAUUGUAAACUGCUUUUAUUUGGGAAUAAACCUCUUUACGUGUAGAGAGCUGAAGGUACCAAAUGAAUAAGCACCGGCUAACUCCGUGCCAGCAGCCGCGGUAAUACGGAGGAUCCAAGCGUUAUCCGGAUUUAUUGGGUUUAAAGGGUGCGUAGGCGGCUUAUUAAGUCAGGGGUGAAAGACGGUGGCUCAACCAUCGCAGUGCCCUUGAUACUGAUGAGCUUGAAUGGACUAGAGGUAGGCGGAAUGUGACAAGUAGCGGUGAAAUGCAUAGAUAUGUCACAGAACACCGAUAGCGAAGGCAGCUCACUAGGUCUGGAUUGACGCUCAUGCACGAAAGCGUGGGGAGCAAACA
This 422-nucleotide ribosomal RNA is filed under the name uncultured bacterium. RNAcentral describes it as "bacterial SSU rRNA". It matches the Rfam family "Bacterial small subunit ribosomal RNA", at positions 355 to 774 of the family's 1533-position model. The record is from RNAcentral.